RNAcentral lists this transfer RNA (65 nucleotides) under Chloroflexota bacterium. Its description in RNAcentral is "Chloroflexi bacterium tRNA-Leu". Lineage: Bacteria; Bacillati; Chloroflexota. RNAcentral also lists the same sequence under 1 other name. The record is from RNAcentral.
GUGAGUCAUGGGUAAAGCGCCUGGUUGUGGCCCAGGUGAUGAGGGUUCAAUUCCCUAUACUCGCC